Molecule: long non-coding RNA, 408 nt
Filed under: Rhinopithecus bieti (black snub-nosed monkey)
Lineage: Eukaryota; Metazoa; Chordata; Mammalia; Primates; Cercopithecidae
Description: lncRNA (ENSRBIG00000046368.1)
Source: RNAcentral
AACACAUUGAACAGAUUUUCUGUAGCAGAAGCCAUACUAGGAACCAGGCAGUCAAUGGCACUGUGAAUUAUGGGGUGCAAAAGAAUCAGCAGCAGUUCCAAAUGAGAAAAUUCUGACUUACUGGGCAUUCUGUAGCCACAGAAACCUGUUUUCCAUAUGCCUUUGAUAAUUUUGAGGUAACUUGAGAGCUUCUGAAGGUAUGUCUACCAUCAUCCAAACAUCAAAACUCAGUUAGACAGCAUUGAACUAGAAGAGAAAAUAGAAUUUGGAAGGUAUUUGUGGAAGAGGAAAGUGGAGAAUGAAGAACAGGAAACAGCAAGUGAAAGGAAAAAAGAAGCUUCUCUUCCCAUAAACAUUGAAGACAGAAAUGGGGAAAUCUUCCAUCCCAUAAGAGAUGUAAACAGAUAG